Molecule: ribosomal RNA, 500 nt
Filed under: uncultured Myrionecta
Lineage: Eukaryota; Ciliophora; Litostomatea; Cyclotrichida; Mesodiniidae
Description: bacterial SSU rRNA
Rfam family: Eukaryotic small subunit ribosomal RNA
Source: RNAcentral
AAACUUACCAGGUCAAGACAUGGGCGUGAUUGACAGGCUAAUGACUUUUCUCGAUUCCAUGGAUGGUGGUGCAUGGUCGCACUUAGUUGGUGCAGUGAUUUGUCAGGUUUAUUCCGGUAACGAACGAGACCUCGGCCUUGUAAAUAGCUAUGCUGCUUACAGGGACAUUGGCGGCUACGCCAAGGAAGCUCGAGGCAAUUGCAGAUCUGGAAUGCCCUUAGAUGUCCUGGGUCGCACGCGUGCUACAAUGACGCCACGAACGAGCUUGCGUGAUGAAAGUUACGCAUAAUCAGCAGUCGGCGUCUUAAGGGAUAGUCUCUUGUAACUGUGGGACUCCAACUAGGAAUGUCUCGUAAGCACAAGUCAACAUCUUGUGUUGAUUACGUCCCUGCUCUUUGUACACACCGCCCGUCGCUCCUACCGAUCGAGUGUUUAGGUGAAUUUGAUGGACGUAAGGAAGUCAAAUAAACCUGAGCACUAGAGAAGAGAAGUCGAUAUUU